CAGAGACAUCGUGCGGUGGUUUUGGACUAUACAGCAGGGGACACAUUAAACAGUGAUUGUUUUUUAUUUAGCCUGUAUAUGUUCUGCAGAAUCUGCAUUAAACUGUAUUUUCCAAAGUACUGAACGGAUCUGGGUGAAUUUUGGAUAUGUGGUUCACCCAGAUCCCCCGGUUCCAAGGGUUAUUGCAUGUUUUGGGGUCCCUGUGUGUUUUAUGAAACUGUAUUAUUUCUGGCCAGCAGAUAAUUGAGCUUUGUGUAUUGUAGAAACUCAAUUAUCUAGCCUGGCCCAGAGGAGGAGUUUUGUGUUGCAUAAAUUGUGAGUUCUGUGUGCCAGUAAAUCAGUCUUGUUCCAGCAUUAAGCCUUGGCUCAUGUUUGGGGGAAGGGAUACCUACACUCUGGG
Molecule: long non-coding RNA, 400 nt
Filed under: Pelobates cultripes (western spadefoot toad)
Lineage: Eukaryota; Metazoa; Chordata; Amphibia; Anura; Pelobatidae
Source: RNAcentral